Molecule: ribosomal RNA, 1295 nt
Filed under: uncultured bacterium
Lineage: Bacteria
Description: partial 16S ribosomal RNA
Rfam family: Bacterial small subunit ribosomal RNA
Source: RNAcentral
CACAUGCAAGUCGAACGGGGAUUACACGGCGAUGCGAUUUCGGUCAAAUCAAGUGCAAUCUUAGUGGCGGACGGGUGAGUAACGCGUGGGUAACCUGCCUUGCACUGGGGGAUAACACUUAGAAAUAGGUGCUAAUACCGCAUAAGCGCACGGUCCUGCAUGGGACAGUGUGAAAAACUCCGGUGGUGCAAGAUGGACCCGCGUCUGAUUAGCUGGUUGGCGGGGUAAAGGCCCACCAAGGCGACGAUCAGUAGCCGGCCUGAGAGGGUGGACGGCCACAUUGGGACUGAGACACGGCCCAAACUCCUACGGGAGGCUAGCAGUGGGGGAUAUUGGACAAUGGGGGGAACCCUGAUCCAGCGACGCCGCGUGAGUGAAGAAGUAUUUCGGUAUGUAAAGCUCUGUCAGCAGGGAAGAAAGCAAUGACAAAACCUGUCCUUGNUGCCCCGGCUGCGUGCGUGCCNGCCGCCGCGGUUNUUCGUNGGGGGCCNGCGUUUUCCGGNNUUNCUGGGUGUUNNGGGGGCGUNGNCGGCUGUGCNNGUCUGGNUGUNUGCGGGGGCCCUCCCCCCGGNCUGCUCUGGNNNCUGUNUGGCUGGNUGCCGGNGGGUNNGCGGCNUUCCUNGUGUNGCGGUGNNNUGCGUNGUUUUUUGGAGGNNCCCCCNGUGGCGNGNGCGGCUUAUUGGACUGUAUCUGACGUUGAGGCUCGAAGGGCGUGGGGAGCAAAACAGGAUUAGAUACCCUGGUAGUCCACGCGGUAAACGAUGAUUAUUAGGUGUCGGAGGGUAUGGACCCUCCGGUGCCGCAGCAAACGCAGUAAGUAAUCCACCUGGGGAGUACGUUCGCAAGAAUGAAACUCAAAGGAAUUGACGGGGACCCGCACAAGCGGUGGAGCAUGUGGUUUAAUCCGAAGCAACGCGAAGAACCUUACCAAGUCUUGACAUCUGGAUGACAGGGACGUAACGGUCCCCUUACUUCGGUACAUCCAAGACAGGUGGUGCAUGGUUGUCGUCAGCUCGUGUCGUGAGAUGUUGGGUUAAGUCCCGCAACGAGCGCAACCCUUAUCCUUAGUAGCCAGCGGGCAGGGCCGGGCACUCUAGGGAGACUGCCGGGGAUAACCCGGAGGAAGGUGGGGAUGACGUCAAAUCAUCAUGCCCCUUAUGAUUUGGGCUACACACGUGCUACAAUGGCGUAAACAGAGGGAAGCGAACCCGCGAGGGGGAGCAAAUCCCAAAAAUAACGUCCCAGUUCGGAUUGUAGCCUGCAACCCGGCUACAUGAAGCUGGAAUCGCUAGUAA